ACAUACCGAAAGGUAUGCUAAUACGAGAUAAUAUGCUUUUAUCGCAUGGUAGAAGUAUCAAAGCUCCGGCGGUACAGGAUGGACCCGCGUCUGAUUAGCUAGUUGGUGAGGUAACGGCUCACCAAGGCGACGAUCAGUAGCCGACCUGAGAGGGUGAUCGGCCACAUUGGAACUGAGACACGGUCCAAACUCCUACGGGAGGCAGCAGUGGGGAAUAUUGCACAAGGGGCGAAAGCCUGAUGCAGCAACGCCGCG
Molecule: ribosomal RNA, 255 nt
Filed under: uncultured bacterium
Lineage: Bacteria
Description: partial 16S ribosomal RNA
Rfam family: Bacterial small subunit ribosomal RNA
Source: RNAcentral